Molecule: ribosomal RNA, 251 nt
Filed under: uncultured bacterium
Lineage: Bacteria
Description: partial 16S ribosomal RNA
Rfam family: Bacterial small subunit ribosomal RNA
Source: RNAcentral
AGGGCAGCCACCCAGUGAUGGGGAGCGAAUCUCGAAAGCCUAUCNCUUUAGUCGGAUUGGAGGCUGAAACUCGCCUCCAUGAAGUUGGAUUCGCUAGUAAUCGCGCAUCAGCCAUGGCGCGGUGAAUACGUUCCCGGGCCUUGUACACACCGCCCGUCAAGCCAUGGGAGUUGGGGGUGCCUGAAGUUCGUGACCGAAAGGAGCGACCUAGGGCAAAACCGAUGACUGGGGCUAAGUCGUAACAAGGUAUC